ACGAAGGGGGCUAGCGUUGCUCGGAAUCACUGGGCGUAAAGGGUGCGUAGGCGGGUCUUUAAGUCAGGGGUGAAAUCCUGGAGCUCAACUCCAGAACUGCCUUUGAUACUGAAGAUCUUGAGUAUGGGAGAGGUGAGUGGAACUGCGAGUGUAGAGGUGAAAUUCGUAGAUAUUCGCAAGAACACCAGUGGCGAAGGCGGCUCACUGGCCCAUAACUGACGCUGAGGCACGAAAGCGUGGGGAGCAAACAG
This 251-nucleotide ribosomal RNA is filed under the name uncultured prokaryote. RNAcentral's name for it is "partial 16S ribosomal RNA". It matches the Rfam family "Bacterial small subunit ribosomal RNA", at positions 525 to 775 of the family's 1533-position model. The record is from RNAcentral.